UACGUAGGCAGCGAGCGUUGUUCGGAGUUACUGGGCGUAAAGGGUGUGUAGGCGGUCCCUUAAGUUUGGUGUGAAAUCUCCCGGCUCAACUGGGAGGGUGCGCCGGAUACUGAGGGGCUAGAGUGCGGGAAGGGAAAGUGGAAUUCCUGGUGUAGCGGUGAAAUGCGUAGAUAUCAGGAGGAACACCGAUGGCGAAGGCAGCCCCCUGGGCUAACACUGACGCUCAUGCACGAAAGCGUGGGGAGCAAACAGG
RNAcentral lists this ribosomal RNA (253 nucleotides) under uncultured bacterium. RNAcentral's name for it is "partial 16S ribosomal RNA". It matches the Rfam family "Bacterial small subunit ribosomal RNA", at positions 524 to 776 of the family's 1533-position model. The record is from RNAcentral.